GAUGAACGCUGGCGGCGUGCCUAAUACAUGCAAGUCGAGCGAACGGACGAGAAGCUUGCUUCUCUGAUGUUAGCGGCGGACGGGUGAGUAACACGUGGAUAACCUACCUAUAAGACUGGGAUAACUUCGGGAAACCGUAGCUAAUACCGGAUAAUAUUUUGAACCGCAUGGUUCAAAAGUGAAAGACGGUCUUGCUGUCACUUAUAGAUGGAUCCGCGCUGCAUUAGCUAGUUGGUAAGGUAACGGCUUACCAAGGCAACGAUGCAUAGCCGACCUGAGAGGGUGAUCGGCCACACUGGAACUGAGACACGGUCCAGACUCCUACGGGAGGCAGCAGUAGGGAAUCUUCCGCAAUGGGCGAAAGCCUGGCGGAGCAACGCCGCGUGAGUGAUGAAGGUCUUCGGAUCGUAAAACUCUGUUAUUAGGGAAGAACAUAUGUGUAAGUAACUGUGCACAUCUUGGCGGUACCUAAUCAGAAAGCCACGGCUAACUACGUG
Molecule: ribosomal RNA, 497 nt
Filed under: uncultured bacterium
Lineage: Bacteria
Description: partial 16S ribosomal RNA
Rfam family: Bacterial small subunit ribosomal RNA
Source: RNAcentral